Molecule: unclassified non-coding RNA, 1853 nt
Filed under: Leishmania donovani
Lineage: Eukaryota; Euglenozoa; Kinetoplastea; Trypanosomatida; Trypanosomatidae
Description: gene:LdHU3.29.1800(CDS-product:Family_of_unknown_ function_(DUF572)_putative)
Source: RNAcentral
CAGCUUCUUACGCCCCGCUACGCAAGGCAUCUUCUGAGGGCCGCACAGGUGCCGUCUUCAGCGGCGGAUUAUCCGUGUUGACCCACUUCUCCCCUGUCACGCGCACCACACUCCCUUGCAAGGAUGUCCAAGAUCAAUGCGACGUACAGCUCCGGCUACUACAUCGCCCCUGAUGUAGACUUUCGAAAGCUUGAGGAACAGCAGCGUCAGGAGCAGCGCGGCAAGCGCAAGCACGGAGGUGCCGACCACGGCGGUGACGACAAUGUCAAGCGACAGACGUUUGCCAUUCCGUUCGAUCUAAUCUGCGAGCACUGCCACCGACGCAUCGCUCGCGGCAGUCACGUCUACGCCAAUCGACGGGCCACCGACAAGCGCUACCUCGACAGCAUCCGCAUCUGGGAGCUGGAGAUAUUGUGCCGCUUCUGCAAGGGCAAGUAUUACCUGCGCACCGACCCGGAGACCCCCAAGGACACGGGCGGCUACAUUUGCGAGAAGGGCUGCAAGCGAGUCGAGGGCGACUUCUACUCCCUCAACAAGCAGAACCAAGCGGCGCGGGAGGAAUGGGAGAAGGCGAAGGCGGAGGCAGAGCUGAACCCGCUGGCGGCGCUGGAGAGAGAAAACGAAGCGGCCCGCGAACUGGAGGAGCGCAACCGCCAGAUCGAAGAGGCAGUGGAGGAGCGCGCCGGACACGAUGAUGGGAACCUGCUCACAAUGCUGCGCAGCCGCCCCCGCCGCACCGAGGUGCGCGCAGCUGCGCUCGACGACGACGGCGACGAGGACGCGGAUGACAGCGGCAAGCCGGGCACGGCACCGAGUUCUACAAGUGCGGAGCCAGCAUCGUCACCGCCGUCAUCAUCGUCAACCGCUUUCCCCUUACCAAAAGCCUUCACGCUUGGCGGCGACGGCGACGAGAGCGGCGACGAGGACGAGGAGGACGCCGAUGAGCGCGCUUUCCGAGAAUUCAACGAGGACAUGGAGCGACGCUGGCGUACCCUGGAGCGCCAGCAGCGCGCGCGGCAGCGGCAACAGGAGCAGCAGAGCAUUGUAGCCGAGACGACGAUGCCCGCUGAUGAGGAUGAGCUGAGGCGUGUGCUGGCGCGCUACGGCGGCGAUCGCCGUGCCACAGCGGAGGCAGUGACAACCACGCUGGUGCAGGCGCAGGAGCCGAAUGUACUCCAGGCCCCCGCUAGCGCAUCGUGCCCAACACCCAUGACCACAUCGGCACCAGCCGUUGCACCCAAGAAGAGCAGCAUCAAGCAAAACAAGUUCUUCGUUUGCAAUAAUGACAAUGAUGACGACAUCGACGACGCAGAUGCUGAAGAGUCGCUACUCGCCCGCCUGCGUGGACCUCCACCGCCGAAGCCAGCCUUUGUUAGCGCGGCUCGUGCCACCAGCGCCGUCUCCAUCACCGCAGGAGCGACGCCGUGUGCGCAGCCUGCCUCUCGCUUCGCAACUCCGGCUGGCGCCUCACAGCCACCCCCGCCGCCACGGAAAUGCGGCAGCUCUCUUCUGCGCCGACUCGUUGACGAUGAGGAUGACGAGGAUGGAGCUGACUGAGCGGGGGAGUUGCUGCGCACGCUCCUGCACUACAUGCGCCGCCCUGUAAAAUCUUUUUUUUUUCGCCUUUCUUUCCUUUUCUCGACGGCCGCAUCGGCGCAGUCCUUGUGCUCGUGCACAUGGCAGGCGUGUCGGCGAGGCGGCUGAGUGGCGGGGGGGGGAGGUGAGGAGCACGCAGCUGCUGCCUCUGACCCUUGCCUUUGCUGCUUCGGCGAAGAUGAAAGGUUCUCAACACGUAUGCACGCAGGCGUGCGUUUUCUGCGCCAUCUUUGCUAGCUCAAGGAUGGAGCUCACAC